CGAACGGGUGAGGAACGCGUGGACAACCUACCCCGGCGUGGGGGGAUACCCGCCAGAAAUGGCGGCUAAUACCGCGUACGGUCGUCUGACGGAGGGUUGGACGAAGAAAGCAGUGAUGCGCGCUGGGAGGGGUCUGCGGCCGAUUAGCUGGUUGGCGGGGUAGUGGCCCACCAAGGCGAUGAUCGGUAGCUGGUCUGAGAGGAUGAUCAGCCACACGGGGACUGAGACACGGCCCCG
This 237-nucleotide ribosomal RNA is filed under the name uncultured bacterium. Its description in RNAcentral is "partial 16S ribosomal RNA". It matches the Rfam family "Bacterial small subunit ribosomal RNA", at positions 99 to 334 of the family's 1533-position model. The record is from RNAcentral.